This 127-nucleotide ribosomal RNA is filed under the name Lachnospiraceae bacterium. Its description in RNAcentral is "partial 23S ribosomal RNA". It matches the Rfam family "Bacterial large subunit ribosomal RNA", at positions 2791 to 2925 of the family's 2925-position model. Lineage: Bacteria; Bacillati; Bacillota; Clostridia; Lachnospirales; Lachnospiraceae. The record is from RNAcentral.
AGCCCCCCUCAAGAUGAGAUAUCCCAAUCAAUAAGACCCCUUGAAGACUACGAGGUAGAUAGGGCCAAGGUGUAAGUGCAGUAAUGCAUUCAGCUGAUGGUUACUAAUAGGUCGAAAGCUUAUCCAG